GAGCAACCGCCGGAUGAACGGACAUCAUUGAUGUUGAUGAAAUUAGAAUUAAAUAAAAUUCGUUGCUCU
RNAcentral lists this transfer RNA (69 nucleotides) under Orcula dolium. RNAcentral describes it as "tRNA-Ile". The record is from RNAcentral. Lineage: Eukaryota; Metazoa; Mollusca; Gastropoda; Stylommatophora; Orculidae.